This is a non-coding RNA of Podarcis lilfordi (Lilford's wall lizard), 69 nucleotides long. The record is from the annotation of a GenBank genome assembly. NCBI's taxonomy places the organism in Eukaryota, Metazoa, Chordata, Lepidosauria, Squamata, Lacertidae.
GACAGGUCAGUUGGUAGAGCAUGAGACUCUUUAAUCGCAGGGUCGUGGGUUCAAGCCCCACGUUGGGCG